RNAcentral lists this transfer RNA (72 nucleotides) under Camelus bactrianus (Bactrian camel). It matches the Rfam family "tRNA". Rfam says of the family: Transfer RNA (tRNA) molecules are approximately 80 nucleotides in length. Their secondary structure includes four short double-helical elements and three loops (D, anti-codon, and T loops). Further hydrogen bonds mediate the characteristic L-shaped molecular structure. tRNAs have two regions of fundamental functional importance: the anti-codon, which is responsible for specific mRNA codon recognition, and the 3' end, to which the tRNAs corresponding amino acid is attached (by aminoacyl-tRNA synthetases). tRNAs cope with the degeneracy of the genetic code in two manners: having more than one tRNA (with a specific anti-codon) for a particular amino acid; and 'wobble' base-pairing, i.e. permitting non-standard base-pairing at the 3rd anti-codon position. The record is from Rfam by way of RNAcentral. RNAcentral also lists the same sequence under 3 other names. Lineage: Eukaryota; Metazoa; Chordata; Mammalia; Artiodactyla; Camelidae.
GUCAGUAUAGCUCAGUGGUAGAGUGCAUGCUUAGCAUGCAGGAGGUCCUGGGUUCAAUACCCAGUACCUCCA